UAAGACGUAGGGGGCCAGCGUUGCUCGGAAUUACUGGGCGUAAAGGGUUCGUAGGCGGUGCGGCAAGUCGGGAGUGAAAUCUCUGGGCUUAACCCAGAGGCUGCUUCCGAAACUGCCGUGCUAGAGUGCGGGAGAGGCGAGUGGAAUUGCAGGUGUAGCGGUGAAAUGCGUAGAUAUCUGCAGGAACACCCGUGGCGAAGGCGGCUCGCUGGACCGCAACUGACGCUGAGGAACGAAAGCUAGGGGAGCAAACAGGAUUAGAUACCCUGGUAGUCCUAGCCCUAAACCAUCAGGACUUGGGGUGCAUCCCGUUCGGGGUGCGUCCCGUAGCUAACGCGUUAAGUCCUGCGCCUGGGGAGUACGGUCGCAAGGCUG
RNAcentral lists this ribosomal RNA (375 nucleotides) under uncultured bacterium. RNAcentral describes it as "bacterial SSU rRNA". It matches the Rfam family "Bacterial small subunit ribosomal RNA", at positions 521 to 896 of the family's 1533-position model. The record is from RNAcentral.